This 497-nucleotide ribosomal RNA is filed under the name uncultured bacterium. RNAcentral describes it as "partial 16S ribosomal RNA". It matches the Rfam family "Bacterial small subunit ribosomal RNA", at positions 28 to 507 of the family's 1533-position model. The record is from RNAcentral.
GACGAACGCUGGCGGCGUGCCUAAUACAUGCAAGUAGAACGCUGAAGCGAGGAGCUUGCUCUUCUUGGAUGAGUUGCGAACGGGUGAGUAACGCGUAGGUAACCUGCCUGGUAGCGGGGGAUAACUAUUGGAAACGAUAGCUAAUACCGCAUAAAAUGGAUUAUCGCAUGAUAAUCCAUUGAAAGGUGCAAAUGCAUCACUACCAGAUGGACCUGCGUUGUAUUAGCUAGUUGGUGGGGUAACGGCUCACCAAGGCGACGAUACAUAGCCGACCUGGGAGGGUGAUCGGCCACACUGGGACUGAGACACGGCCCAGACUCCUACGGGAGGCAGCAGUAGGGAAUCUUCGGCAAUGGACGGAAGUCUGACCGAGCAACGCCGCGUGAGUGAAGAAGGUUUUCGGAUCGUAAAGCUCUGUUGUAAGAGAAGAACGAGUGUGAGAGUGGAAAGUUCACACUGUGACGGUAUCUUACCAGAAAGGGACGGCUAACUACGUG